GUGAAUCAUCGAAUCUUUGAACGCACAUUGCGCCCUUUGGCAUUCCUUAGGGCAUGCCUGUUCGAGCGUCAUUUAAACCCUCAAGCACUGCUUGGUGUUGGGCGUUUGUCCCGCCUCUCGGCGCGGACUCGCCUCAAAAGCAUUGGCGGCCUGUGUGAAAGGCUUCGAGCGCAGCAGAUGCGAGCCUCGAUCCCCACGCGCCGGCGUCCAGCAAGCCAACCCAUCAUUUUGACCUCGGAUCAGGUAGGGAUACCCGCUGAACUUAAGCAUAUCAAUAAGCGGAGGA
This 286-nucleotide unclassified non-coding RNA is filed under the name Berkleasmium sp. RNAcentral's name for it is "partial contains 5.8S ribosomal RNA, internal transcribed spacer 2, and large subunit ribosomal RNA". The stretch from base 1 to 71 matches the Rfam family "5.8S ribosomal RNA", at positions 84 to 154 of the family's 154-position model. Lineage: Eukaryota; Fungi; Ascomycota; Dothideomycetes; Tubeufiales; Tubeufiaceae. The record is from RNAcentral.